CCUACGGGAGGCAGCAGUGAGGAAUAUUGGUCAAUGGACGAGAGUCUGAACCAGCCAAGUAGCGUGAAGGAUGACUGCCCUAUGGGUUGUAAACUUCUUUUAUAUGGGAAUAAAAUGUUCCACGUGUGGGGUUUUGUAUGUACCAUAUGAAUAAGCAUCGGCUAACUCCGUGCCAGCAGCCGCGGUAAUACGGAGGAUCCGAGCGUUAUCCGGAUUUAUUGGGUUUAAAGGGAGCGUAGGUGGAUGGUUAAGUCAGUUGUGAAAGUUUGAGGCUCAACCGUAAAAUGGCAGUUGAAACUGGCAGUAUGGAUUACAGUAGAGGUGGGCGGAAGUGGUGGUGAAGCGGUGAAAGGCUGAGAUAUCACGAAGAAUCC
This 374-nucleotide ribosomal RNA is filed under the name uncultured bacterium. RNAcentral describes it as "partial 16S ribosomal RNA". It matches the Rfam family "Bacterial small subunit ribosomal RNA", at positions 338 to 709 of the family's 1533-position model. The record is from RNAcentral.